This 649-nucleotide ribosomal RNA is filed under the name Staphylococcus aureus. Its description in RNAcentral is "partial 23S ribosomal RNA". It matches the Rfam family "Bacterial large subunit ribosomal RNA", at positions 2274 to 2925 of the family's 2925-position model. Lineage: Bacteria; Bacillati; Bacillota; Bacilli; Caryophanales; Staphylococcaceae. The record is from RNAcentral.
CUGGGGCGGUCGCCUCCUAAAAGGUAACGGAGGCGCUCAAAGGUUCCCUCAGAAUGGUUGGAAAUCAUUCAUAGAGUGUAAAGGCAUAAGGGAGCUUGACUGCGAGACCUACAAGUCGAGCAGGGUCGAAAGACGGACUUAGUGAUCCGGUGGUUCCGCAUGGAAGGGCCAUCGCUCAACGGAUAAAAGCUACCCCGGGGAUAACAGGCUUAUCUCCCCCAAGAGUUCACAUCGACGGGGAGGUUUGGCACCUCGAUGUCGGCUCAUCGCAUCCUGGGGCUGUAGUCGGUCCCAAGGGUUGGGCUGUUCGCCCAUUAAAGCGGUACGCGAGCUGGGUUCAGAACGUCGUGAGACAGUUCGGUCCCUAUCCGUCGUGGGCGUAGGAAAUUUGAGAGGAGCUGUCCUUAGUACGAGAGGACCGGGAUGGACAUACCUCUGGUGUACCAGUUGUCGUGCCAACGGCAUAGCUGGGUAGCUAUGUGUGGACGGGAUAAGUGCUGAAAGCAUCUAAGCAUGAAGCCCCCCUCAAGAUGAGAUUUCCCAACUUCGGUUAUAAGAUCCCUCAAAGAUGAUGAGGUUAAUAGGUUCGAGGUGGAAGCAUGGUGACAUGUGGAGCUGACGAAUACUAAUCGAUCGAAGACUUAAUCAA